Molecule: long non-coding RNA, 303 nt
Organism: Calliphora vicina (urban bluebottle blowfly)
Lineage: Eukaryota; Metazoa; Arthropoda; Insecta; Diptera; Calliphoridae
Exons: 2
Source: RefSeq, a predicted model, not a curated record
UUAACAAGAAAGUAUAAAAAUUAAAAAGCAUAAUUCAUAAUUAAUUAUUGAAACAUGAAAGUAUUUCAAAUAAUUUUGAUUAUAUCAGCAAUUACCACCUGCACAAUGGGUACCCCUAUUUUUAAUUUUAAUGGAGACAUUGAAAUGGGAGGGACGCACUAUAUAACGAGAACACGUUACAAUAUCUGACGAAAUAAAUACUAAUGAUUUGUAAUAUUUUUUUGCAUUUAAAUCAGUAGAAAAAUAUAACAACAAUAUAAUUGCAUUAAAUUAAUAAAAAAAAACUGAAACUAACUUUUUAAA